GAUGAAGAACGUAGCGAAAUGCGAUACUUGGUGUGAAUUGCAGAAUCCCGUGAACCAUAGAGUCUUUGAACGCAAGUUGCGCCCGAAGCCAUUAGGCCGAGGGCACGCCUGCCUGGGCGUCACACGUCGUUGCCCCCCCAUCUACUCCUUCGGGAUUGCGGGGGGCGGAUGAUGGCCUCCCGUGCGCCUCGUCGCGCGGUUGGCAUAAAUACCAAGUCCUCGGCGACGCACGCCACGACAAUCGGUGGUUGCGAAACCUCGGUUGCCCGUCGUGUGCGGUCGUCGCGCAUCGAGGGCUCGAAAAAAUUGCCGGGCUCCGGCUCGGCUUUCAACGCGACCCCAGGUCAGGCGGGGUUACCCGCUGAAUUUAAGCAUAUCAAUAAGCGGAGGA
Molecule: unclassified non-coding RNA, 391 nt
Filed under: soil metagenome
Description: partial contains 5.8S ribosomal RNA, internal transcribed spacer 2, and large subunit ribosomal RNA
Rfam family: 5.8S ribosomal RNA (bases 1-122)
Source: RNAcentral